RNAcentral lists this long non-coding RNA (398 nucleotides) under Salvia miltiorrhiza (redroot sage). RNAcentral's name for it is "long non-coding RNA (SMIL_LNC009089)". Lineage: Eukaryota; Viridiplantae; Streptophyta; Magnoliopsida; Lamiales; Lamiaceae. The record is from RNAcentral.
AUGCUUCGCACUCGGCGGAGACGGGAGCGAAGGAGGGGGCGUGUAAACACGCGCCCCUUUUCGGCCCAAAAAAAAAAGAAAAUUAAAAAACAAAAUUUAAAAUGCAUGCAGUAGUCCGUUUUUUACCGUUUUUUUUCCCGUUGUCCCUUUUUUCUUUUUUCUUUUUUUAUUUCUAUACCCCCUCUAUAUAUACAUAUACAACCUCAUUUUCUUCUUCAUCCUCAAUCAUUCAUCCAUUCUCCUCAUUCAUCCAUUCUCCUCAUCUUCUAAAUUAUUUCAACAAAUAGCAAUGGAAGGCGAUUGGAGCAACUAUUGGCGUGAACAUCCUCAAAAUCCAUCCCCCGGCGAAUCAAAUGCUUCCAGGCAAGGAUUCUCGCCGUUCACGCAAGAAUCGAAUG